Molecule: long non-coding RNA, 1322 nt
Organism: Pseudophryne corroboree (corroboree frog)
Lineage: Eukaryota; Metazoa; Chordata; Amphibia; Anura; Myobatrachidae
Exons: 6
Source: RefSeq, a predicted model, not a curated record
GGCACCGACGCUCGCUCAUCUCCCCCAACACUCCCAAAGCUGCCACUUGCCCAGCACGGCUUCACUCUGUCAUUUUAUUUACAGUGGUCUUGGGUGCACUUUAAUGGUUAGAUUGAAUGAAAACAGAAAAAGAUUCGAUUUGGAGAUGCAAGAAGGCAAUACUUUGUGCAUUUUAUUAUUGCGCUGAGCCGUGAUGGAGAGCAGAACAUGACUGCAGCUACCACAAUAUUGCGGUUACAAAAACCAUCUCUGAAAACUAGUGCCAUCAGGAUCACAUUGCACUCCCCCCCCUUCCCCAAGUGCAACCUGCAAUUUACUGUUGCAGGAAACCUAACCAAUCACAGUGAAGAAAUCCGACUUUUCUGGAAACUCUUUAUUGUGGACAACAAGAUGUUCAGAGCCAACCAGUCUUAUCAACAGUUAUAUAAUUAAAUGACAAGUGAUGUGCUGUUAUGCAGAGACAUCUUCUAGGAAGGUUUAACAAGUACAGGUAACAGAUCCACAAAGGAGGGACAACUUGGAGCCCUGUGCUACCACACACCAGCAGGAGUAAGCCAUUUCCUCCCUGAUCCGGAGCACCAUAAGUGGACUCUCUAAUCGCUUGUGUUCCGUUCUAUCAUCUGGAGGACACAUCACAUUCAUGAACAAUACUGGCUAUAGCUGCAAGCCCCGGGGGAACCGGUUUCUGGAGCUGCAACACCGGGUAUUUCCUACUCUACAGACAGUGGGGCUGGUGACGCGCAAGCUGUGCGUUGCCUUGGCAACAUGAUAUCGGGAGCGGAAACAGAAGUGGAUGCGGCGGCCGUGAACGGAAGCCAGGGGGAUGGCGGCGGAGUUUGGCGGGACCUGUACAGGUAUUUAAAUGAUUGUACAGACCUCAAGGGAUCUUACUGGCAAUGCCAUUGCAAAUAGAUGAAGCUUUCGGUAAUGAGACCAUACAGCAAAGUGGAAUGAAACAUCUGUUCUAUAUCACAACUCCUAAAUAAAGUUGACCUUAAGAAGAAAUGUAAUGAUUUUUAUAUGACACUUUGUAACAUAUGCUUAUGUUGCUCUGUACCAAUAAUGACAAUUGUACCCUCACAAGAGCACUCUGUUUUCCAUUAGUUACUCCUGCUGUCUUGUCCUUUAAUAACAGUCAUCUGAAAUCAUGAAAAACUCUGUUACUGAGAGUCCUUGAGAUGUAGACACCAAACCCUGCAAAAAGGGGUUCUACUGGGUGAGAUCUACCGACGUGAGGCAUGUGUCAUUAAUUUCUACAAUGUAAAGUAAAUAUACUGUAGGCUAGAUGACCAUAACAAAUAAAAAAAUAUAUAUUUGUCAAA